This 250-nucleotide ribosomal RNA is filed under the name uncultured bacterium. RNAcentral's name for it is "partial 16S ribosomal RNA". It matches the Rfam family "Bacterial small subunit ribosomal RNA", at positions 524 to 729 of the family's 1533-position model. The record is from RNAcentral.
UACGGAGGGUGCAAGCGUUGUUCGGAAUUAUUGGGCGUAAAGCGCGUGUAGGCGGCUAUUUAAGUCUGAUGUGAAAGCCCGGGGCUCAACCUCGGAAGUGCUAUCCAGUUUCCAAUGCACUUCCGGGGCUCAACCUCGGAAGUGCAUUGGAAACUGGAUAGCUUGAGUACGGGAGAGGGUAGUGGAAUUUCGAGUGUAGGGGUGAAAUCCGUAGAUAUUCGAAGGAACACCGGUGGCGAAGGCGGCUACC